Molecule: transfer RNA, 74 nt
Filed under: Anguilla anguilla (European eel)
Lineage: Eukaryota; Metazoa; Chordata; Actinopteri; Anguilliformes; Anguillidae
Description: tRNA-OTHER
Source: RNAcentral
GGCAGUGUAGCGCAGUGGUUAGGGAACUGGAGUCGCAAUUCAGAGGUUGCGAGUUCGAUUCCCAGUCGGUGUGC